RNAcentral lists this non-coding RNA (150 nucleotides) under Brucella daejeonensis. RNAcentral's name for it is "Ochrobactrum daejeonense sRNA CI27". It matches the Rfam family "Brucella sRNA CI27", at positions 1 to 148 of the family's 167-position model. Lineage: Bacteria; Pseudomonadati; Pseudomonadota; Alphaproteobacteria; Hyphomicrobiales; Brucellaceae. The record is from RNAcentral.
AACGACCCUGAAGCAUGUCUCCCAAAAGUGGGAACCGGUUUUGGGAUAAAGACAUGCGUAAAAACAAAAGUUUAAAGCGUGUUGCCUGAAUACGAUUGAACGCAACACGCUUUAAACCAUGUCUCCCAAAAGUGGGAACCGGAUUGCCGC